GCUAGCAUGGCGGAGUGGUUUGAGUGUUGGACUACAACUCUGGAGACCAGGGUUCGAUUCGCAGGUCAGGCA
Non-coding RNA from Phrynosoma platyrhinos (Desert horned lizard), 72 nucleotides. Lineage: Eukaryota; Metazoa; Chordata; Lepidosauria; Squamata; Phrynosomatidae. The record is from the annotation of a GenBank genome assembly.